CGUGUUUCCCCACACCGUGUCCCUGCAGGCACCUUGUCCCCCAGCCCCAAGCCCCAGCACACAAGGGAUUUACCCCAGAGAUGCCGGUGCAGGAUGAAGACGGGCUGGUGGUUGGGGCGAGGGGGAGAUGUGGGAGAGGAACAAGGCAGGGAAGGGACCACCCCGGGUGAGGAAGCGCCCAAGGAGCUGGGGGGUGGUUAUGGGGAGGCUGUCUGAAGGGUGCAAGCGAGGAUGCACGGGAGACGGGAAGGUCGUGAGGAGGAGGUUUCAGUGUGGAAAGGGAGAGGGAGAGUAAAGCAAAAGCAGUUGUUGAGCAGGAAGAGGUUUGAGCCAAGGGGAAAGUGAAGGAGCAAGAGGGAAGCUUGGCACGGAGGAGAAACGUGAGUGAAGAGCAAGAGGUGGCAGCUAGAUGCCCAAAGCAAAAGAGGAGUGGGACCUCGAGGGAGAGAAAAAUUUUGGCUCCCACAUCCCUGCAGCUGAGAGGGGAAGAAACCUCGACAUC
Athene cunicularia (burrowing owl) is the source of this 502-nucleotide long non-coding RNA. RefSeq lists it as uncharacterized. Lineage: Eukaryota; Metazoa; Chordata; Aves; Strigiformes; Strigidae. The record is from RefSeq and is a predicted model, not a curated record. The transcript is spliced from 2 exons.